UCCCUGGUGGCCCAGUGGGUAAAGUGUCUGCCUGCCAUGUGGGAGACCCGGGUUUGAUCCCCGGCUUGGGAA
RNAcentral lists this transfer RNA (72 nucleotides) under Bos taurus (domestic cattle). It matches the Rfam family "tRNA". From Rfam's summary of the family: Transfer RNA (tRNA) molecules are approximately 80 nucleotides in length. Their secondary structure includes four short double-helical elements and three loops (D, anti-codon, and T loops). Lineage: Eukaryota; Metazoa; Chordata; Mammalia; Artiodactyla; Bovidae. RNAcentral also lists the same sequence under 1 other name. The record is from Rfam by way of RNAcentral.